UACGGGGGGGGCAAGCGUUGUUCGGAAUUACUGGGCGUAAAGAGUGCGCAGGCGGCUUGGCAAGUCGAGUGUGAAAUCCCCGGGCUUAACUUGGGAAUUGCGCUCGAAACUACCUGGCUAGAGUGUGGCAGAGGAAGGUGGAAUUCCACGUGUAGCGGUGAAAUGCGUAGAGAUGUGGAGGAACACCGAUGGCGAAGGCAGCCUUCUGGGCCAACACUGACGCUCAUGCACGAAAGCGUGGGGAGCAAACAGG
RNAcentral lists this ribosomal RNA (253 nucleotides) under uncultured bacterium. Its description in RNAcentral is "partial 16S ribosomal RNA". It matches the Rfam family "Bacterial small subunit ribosomal RNA", at positions 524 to 776 of the family's 1533-position model. The record is from RNAcentral.